Molecule: long non-coding RNA, 628 nt
Organism: Oncorhynchus tshawytscha (Chinook salmon)
Lineage: Eukaryota; Metazoa; Chordata; Actinopteri; Salmoniformes; Salmonidae
Source: Ensembl
GGAGAUUAUAACAGAACAUGGCCAAGAUGUUCAAAUGUUCAUAAAUGACCAGCAUGGUCGUAUAAUAAUAAGGCAGAACAGUUGAAACUGGAGCAGCAGCACGGUCAGAUGGACUGGGGACAGCAAGGAGUCAUCAUGUCAGGUAGUCCUGGGGCAUGGUCCUAGGGCUCGGGUCUUCCGAGAGAGAGAAAGAAAGAGAGAAGGAGAGAAUUAGAGAACGCACACUUAGAUUCACACAGGACACCGAAUAGGACAGGAGAAGUACUCCAGAUAUAACAAACUGACCCCAGCCCCCCGACACAUAAACUACUGCAGCAUAAAUACUGGAGGCUGAGACAGGAGGGGUCAGGAGACACUGUGGCCCCAUCCGAGGUCACCCCGGACAGGGCCAAACAGGAAGGAUAUAACCCCACCCACUUUGCCAAAGCACAGCCCCCACACCACUAGAGGGAUAUCUUCAACCACCAACUUACCACCCUGAGACAAGGCUGAGUAUAGCCCACAAAGAUCUCCGCCACGGCACAACCCAAGGGGGGGGCGCCAACCCAGACAGGAUGACCACAACAGUGAAUCAACCCACUCAGGUGACGCACCCCCUCCAGGGACGGCAUGAGAGAGCCCCAGUAAG